RNAcentral lists this ribosomal RNA (497 nucleotides) under uncultured bacterium. RNAcentral describes it as "partial 16S ribosomal RNA". It matches the Rfam family "Bacterial small subunit ribosomal RNA", at positions 28 to 507 of the family's 1533-position model. The record is from RNAcentral.
GAUGAACGCUGGCGGCGUGCCUAAUACAUGCAAGUCGAGCGAACAGAUGAGGAGCUUGCUCCUCUGACGUUAGCGGCGGACGGGGGAGUAACACGUGGAUAACCUACUUAUAAGACUGGGAUAACUUCGGGAAACCGGAGCUAAUACCGGAUAAUAUAUUGAACCGCAUGGUUCAAUAGUGAAAGACGGUUUUGCUGUCACUUAUAGAUGGAUCCGCGCCGCAUUAGCUAGUUGGUAAGGUAACGGCUUACCAAGGCAACGAUGCGUAGCCGACCUGAGAGGGUGAUCGGCCACACUGGAACUGAGACACGGUCCAGACUCCUACGGGAGGCAGCAGUAGGGAAUCUUCCGCAAUGGGCGAAAGCCUGACGGAGCAACGCCGCGUGAGUGAUGAAGGUCUUCGGAUCGUAAAACUCUGUUAUUAGGGAAGAACAAAUGUGUAAGUAACUAUGCACGUCUUGACGGUACCUAAUCAGAAAGCCACGGCUAACUACGUG